AAGCGCUGCACUCCAGAAAGCUCAGUCUUACCCUCUGUCUCUGCUGCUAGUGCUGCAAGUGGGAUAGCUGCUCAUCACAAAGCACCAGUUCAGUCCUCAAAACCGAUCCUCAUUUCACGCCCGAGUGUUGCUUCUGUUGCUUUCUCAAACCCGUGGUUUGUAGUGAUUUUCUCCUACCCUUUCCCUCCCCACGUCCGCUAUAGACCGUGAAUCGAGCAACGAUUUUUAGAGCAAAUGUUUGUUCGCCUUUCUUUUCUUCUAUUCUGCCUUUUGCGGAAUCAAGCUGAGACUUGCUGCUUCAAUGACUGCUAAAAUGUAGCGUCACCUACCUGGGUAAGUGGGAAAUAAACUUUAAUGGUAAAGCUC
Molecule: non-coding RNA, 366 nt
Organism: Cyanistes caeruleus (blue tit)
Lineage: Eukaryota; Metazoa; Chordata; Aves; Passeriformes; Paridae
Source: RefSeq, a predicted model, not a curated record